Molecule: ribosomal RNA, 255 nt
Filed under: uncultured bacterium
Lineage: Bacteria
Description: partial 16S ribosomal RNA
Rfam family: Bacterial small subunit ribosomal RNA
Source: RNAcentral
UACGUAGGGUGCGAGCGUUAAUCGGAAUUACUGGGCGUAAAGCGUGCGCAGGCGGUCUGUUAAGACCGAUGUGAAAUCCCCGGGCUUAACCUGGGAACUGCAUUGGUGACUGGCAGGCUUUGAGUGUGGCAGAGGGAGGUAGAAUUCCACGUGUAGCAGUGAAAUGCGUAGAGAUGUGGAGGAACACCGAUGGCGAAGGCAACUCCCCUGGACCUGUACUGACGCUCAUGCACGAAAGCGUGGGGAGCAAACAGG